CUGCACCUGUGGCAUAUGGAGGCUCCCAGGCGAGGGAUCCAAUCAGAGCUAUAGCUGCCAGACUACACCACAGCCACAGCAACACAGGAUCCGAGCUGUGUCUGUGACCUAUACCACAGGUCACAGCAAGGUGAGCUCCUUAACCCACUGAGCGAAGCCAGGGAUAGAACCCACAACCUUAUGGUUCUUAGUCAGAUUCGUUUCUGCUGUACCAUGACGGGAACUCCCCGAUUUUAGGUUUUCAGUAGAGAUAAAAUACUGGGUGAGAAGGGUAACUACAGGAAGCCCUGAUCAGCACCAAACUGAUGAUUGUUCUGCGCUACCCUGGCUUGUUAGCACUCCAACUUUGAGUAUGGGGCCUAUACUCAAAUCAAAAAAAGAAAUGGCAGAGUAUCUGGGAGAGAAGUAAGGGGACAUGUUCUCGUGCCUAGCCUGGACCAAGGGCUCCCGUCCUAAACCUGAUGCUGAUUGCUACCAGGACGAGGCAAAGGAGCCUGGAGUCCUGCAAGUCUUAUGGGAAAGACGACCUGAGUGGAUCUUGUCUUCAACAAGAUGCUUUAACCACCCAAAUAAAGAAUGAGUGGCCAUCAGUUAGAGGAAGAGGCUUAGAAAGGUCCCAGACCUGAAUUACAGCUUUGGCUCAGCUCUAAACACAUCACUUGCCUUUUUAGAUCUCAGUUUUCUCACAGAUAAAAUGGGAGGCAGGGAGGUGAUACCUAGUAUGAUUUCUGAAAUCUGAUAUGCACCACAUAUCAACACUAAGGUUUCUAGGCUUAGUACUUGGAACAAGAUAUUAUCCAAACUAUUGCGAGAAAAAAACUGAGCCUCCUCAGAAGGGUGGUUUCUGAUUCUCUAGAGUUCUUUUUAGAGACCAUUUAUGGAUGUAUUUUCCUAUGGCAUGAAAGCAUGUGUAAAAGAAUAGACUUUGGGUCAGACAGACAGACCUGAGUAAUACAGGCUUCAAUUACUAUCUUCCACCUUAUGUGACCCAGAGCAGGCCACUUAAAUGUAUAGAACCUUUAUUUCACCAUUUUUAAUAUGGGCCUAAUAACCGACACUCUUUAAGAGUUGAUGUAUUUAGAAAGGAGUACCCACUGUGGCACAGUGGGUUAAGAAUCCAACUGCAGCAAUUUGGGUCUCUGUGGAAGCAUAGGUUCAAUUCCUGGCCCAGUACAGUAGGUUAAAAGGAUUUGGCAUUGUCAGCGCUGCUUCAUAGGUUGUGGCUGUGACUCAGGUUCAAUCUCUGGCCUGGGAACUUCCAUAUGCCCUGGGUGCAGCCACAAAAUUUAAGAAAGAAAGAAAGAAGAAACAUGUGGCACAAGGCCCAACAGAGAUAUCAGUAAACAGCAGUUAUAUUAUCGAAAUUACCUAUGUGAUAAUAUUAAUAUGCCAGGCAUUGUUCCUAAACUGAAAUAACAAAUGUAUCAUGUGUGUAGCAUUAGGUCUAGGGCAGAGGUUUCCCAUGAAAUUGUCUCCACUCAAAGGUAUACCAGGCCUUUGACCCUUGGUGGCUCCACUUUCAGCCCUGACCCUAAUAUGUGCCUCUGCAGAGAGACCAAUAGUUGCAGAUAAAGACCAGGAGCAGGACAGAGAGGCUCUGCAGAUCAAUGGAAGCCUUCAGAGUGACACCGAUCUGGCACCUGUGUCUAGCAACGACUUCACAGGAAAAAUUAGAAUACACUAAAGACAAAGACAAAGAGCUCAUCUCUCAAAACUAUGUAUUAGCUAAAUUGACAGAAAAUAACAGCCAGUGAAACAACCUGCAAAGGUGUGAUUUUCUCCCAGAUUAGUUCCAGGACUCAGAGUAUGUUGGGGAGGGGAGGGGGGAUCUAUCUGAGCCCCCCCCCCACUUUGGGGUGGAAUGUCUCCCAUCUUGUCAUCCUCUAAUGUUGAUCUAUAGGGAAAGGUGCCUCUGCCCUUUGCUGCUCGGAUUGAUGGUCCUGGACUCCACUGUUAUUGCCCCAGUUCCCUGAAAGGUCCCUUGAUUUAUUCCCUUUAUAUUAGAAAACCAUAUCUGCUCAUUAUCUGGGAAGGUCACUGGAAGGGAGAUAUUUCUUCCAGCUUCAAUAGCAGAUCACUUGGCCUUUUUUUCAUAUCUCUCUUGGCACAGCAGGAGCUCUGUGAGAAUAAGGGGAGGCCAGGACAAACAAUAAAAGCACAUUUGUUCCUAGGCAGGAAGCUCAGUGGAAGGACCUGGCAGGAUACAUAAAUACGCAAAGCAGGCUCAUUAGCUAGCAUCCUUGAUUUCUAUUUCAACUGUUAUUUCCAAAGCUAAUUAUUCCUGUUACUAGGAAGUCCUGCCUUAACAAAGAUGGCCGGAGACCACGAGUCACUGGAAAUGUUUUUGUAUUUUAGACUAGGCUUGAAUUUCCCAUUCUAGUCAUUUCCCAGCAGGGACCUAGGCUCAGCUAAUAUUUUUCAAGAUAUAUUUAAACAAGAUGUGACAUCAUACAAAAAAUGAUUUUCACAAGAAAAUUAUAUGUAUUUUACUUUUUGAUUACUUUUCCUUAUGUAUCCAGAUUAGUAGACUGCCUUUUCUUUUGUGCAUGUGUGAAAGUAUGUCUUUAGUUAGACACUAGAAGGGCCAUGCUGAGUAGACAAAACUAGAACUGCUUAGAUCAACAAAGUCAAUAUUUCCAACCCAUAACCAUUUUGAUGUUGCUAUACAUUCAUUCAGAGUCUCUCUCAAAAUAGUCUCAGAAUAGAACAGUCUUUAGGACCUACACAAGAAUCGCCUUGAGAGAUGGUUUAAAAUACAGUUUCCUUGGGAGAGAGGUUUGGGACUGGCAUAUGCACUAUGGUAUACAGAAUGGAUGAUCAAUGAGGACCUGCUGUAUAGCACAGGGAACUCUAUACUCAAUAUUCUGUAAUAACCUAUAUAGAAAAAGAAUAUGAAAGAGAAUGUAUAUGUGUAUAUGUAUAACUGAAUCACUGUGAUGUAGAGCAGCAAUAAACCUAACAUUGUAAAUACACUAUACUCGAUAAAAUUAAAAAAAAAGGUAGUUUCCUUGCGCCCACACCAGUCCUCAUGAGCCAGGCCUUUUAGAAGUAGAACCCAGGAAUCUGCAUUUUAAACACUCUUGAUUGAACCCACUAGGCUAUUCAGAUAACGCUCAAAUGUGUAGGCAGGUGUGGGGCCUGCAUCCACCGUGGCAGCAAUUCCCUCAUCCCACAACCUGACAGUAGGGGGAGCUCUCCUGCCAGAAGCCAGGGCUUUGUAGAAGAAAACUAGCUCCAGAGUUCUGAGACUAUGUGAGUUUACAAGAAAGCACUGUAGCUCCUUGGGGAGUUACAGUUUUGAUGAUAACCUUGAACCUCCUGAGUUCCCCCUAAAGACUCAAUCAAAGAAGCACUCUUCCUUCCUUUCAUUUUAACAAAAGUUGGGUCAAGAAAUAAAUGCAAUAUCAAU
RNAcentral lists this long non-coding RNA (3409 nucleotides) under Sus scrofa (pig). RNAcentral's name for it is "lncRNA (ENSSSCG00045023309.1)". The record is from RNAcentral. Lineage: Eukaryota; Metazoa; Chordata; Mammalia; Artiodactyla; Suidae.